This 460-nucleotide ribosomal RNA is filed under the name uncultured bacterium. RNAcentral describes it as "partial 16S ribosomal RNA". It matches the Rfam family "Bacterial small subunit ribosomal RNA", at positions 338 to 795 of the family's 1533-position model. The record is from RNAcentral.
CCUACGGGAGGCUGCAGUGAGGAAUAUUGGUCAAUGGGCGCGAGCCUGAACCAACCAAGUAGCGUGAAGGAUGACUGCCCUACGGGUUGUAAACUUCUUUUAUAAAGGAAUAAAGUGAGGCACGUGUGCCUUUUUGUAUGUACUUUAUGAAUAAGGAUCGGCUAACUCCGUGCCAGCAGCCGCGGUAAUACGGAGGAUCCGAGCGUUAUCCGGAUUUAUUGGGUUUAAAGGGCGUGCAGCCGGAGAGACAAGUCAGAUGUGAAAUCCGCAGGCUCAACUUCGGAAUUGCCUCUGAUACUGUUCGGCUAGAGAGUAGUUGCGGUAGGCGGAAUGUAUGGUGUAGCGGUGAAAUGCUUAGAGAUCAUACAGAACACCGAUUGCGAAGGCAGCUUACCAAGCUACUUCUGACGUUGAGGCACGAAAGCGUGGGGAGCAAACAGGAUUAGAUACCCUUGUAGUC